RNAcentral lists this unclassified non-coding RNA (208 nucleotides) under uncultured Cortinarius. RNAcentral's name for it is "sequence contains ITS2". Lineage: Eukaryota; Fungi; Basidiomycota; Agaricomycetes; Agaricales; Cortinariaceae. The record is from RNAcentral.
AUAUAUCAACCUCUUCAAAUUUUGAAAAGUUUAUUGAGCGUUGGAUAUGGGGGUUUUUGUUUUGCUGGUCUUAUCACAAAGGUCAGCUCCCCUGAAAUGUAUUAGCGGAACAUUUUGUGGACCGUUCAUUGGUGUGAUAACUAUCUACGCUAUUGACGUGAAACAGUUCCGCUUCUAACAGUCCAUUGACUUGGACAAAUUUUUAUUA